GACGAACGCUGGCGGCGUGCUUAACACAUGCAAGUCGAACGGAAAGGCCCUGCUUUUGUGGGGUGCUCGAGUGGCGAACGGGUGAGUAACACGUGAGUAACCUGCCCUUGACUUUGGGAUAACUUCAGGAAACUGGGGCUAAUACCGGAUAGUAGCUCCUGCUGCAUGGUGGGGGUUGGAAAGUUUCGGCGGUUGGGGAUGGACUCGCGGCUUAUCAGCUUGUUGGUGGGGUAGUGGCUUACCAAGGCUUUGACGGGUAGCCGGCCUGAGAGGGUGACCGGCCACAUUGGGACUGAGAUACGGCCCAGACUCCUACGGGAGGCAGCAGUGGGGAAUAUUGCACAAUGGGCGGAAGCCUGAUGCAGCAACGCCGCGUGCGGGAUGACGGCCUUCGGGUGGUAAACCGCUUUCGCCUGUGACGAAGCGUGAGUGACGGUAAUGGGUAAAGAAGCACCGGCUAACUACGUG
Molecule: ribosomal RNA, 468 nt
Filed under: uncultured bacterium
Lineage: Bacteria
Description: partial 16S ribosomal RNA
Rfam family: Bacterial small subunit ribosomal RNA
Source: RNAcentral